UACGAAGGGUGCAAACGUUGCUCGGAAUUACUGGGCGUAAAGCGUGCGUAGGUGGUGAGUUAAGUCUGUCGUGAAAGCCCCGGGCUCAACCUGGGAAUGGCGAUGGAUACUGGCUCGCUAGAGUGCGGUAGAGGAGAGUGGAAUUCCCGGUGUAGCAGUGAAAUGCGUAGAGAUCGGGAGGAACAUCAGUUGCGAAGGCGGCUCUCUGGACCAGCACUGACACUGAGGCACGAAAGCGUGGGGGAGCAAACAGG
Molecule: ribosomal RNA, 254 nt
Filed under: uncultured bacterium
Lineage: Bacteria
Description: partial 16S ribosomal RNA
Rfam family: Bacterial small subunit ribosomal RNA
Source: RNAcentral